Peromyscus eremicus (cactus mouse) is the source of this 912-nucleotide long non-coding RNA. RefSeq lists it as uncharacterized. The record is from RefSeq and is a predicted model, not a curated record. Lineage: Eukaryota; Metazoa; Chordata; Mammalia; Rodentia; Cricetidae. The transcript has 3 exons.
CACACACACACACACACACAGCUUUCACACUGCGUGGUAGGGCCAUGGAGAAUUCGCUCUCGGAUGUGGCAGUCUACGGAUUACAUGGAAAUGAACGGAGAAUUAACCAUACCUGGGGGAGCUGCCUUCCCAUUUUGCAGGUGAGUAAACAGGGCUUUGGGGGUUUGCCUGAGGCCUCAUAAUAAACCUGGCAGAGAGGAGACUUGGGCUCUGAGCUUCACACCGCAGGUCUUGUCCUCUCUCUGCUCUACCGGGAGUGGAUCAUGUUAAGGAAGGAGUAGUCUGAGCUGGAGGAGGAGGGAAGGGAGCCAUGAAUGUGGCUUAUUCUAGGCAGUGGCUGGUAAUCUCAACACAUCUCCAGGCUAUAGAGCUCACAGACUGUUGUUUCAAGGAACAUCUAGAUUGAGACAAAAGAUACUGCUAUUUUAUUUUUUCACUUGUCCCCAGCUCUGUUUGUAACCCAAUUCCCAGCGGCCCCAGGAAGCCGUAGGCCGGUCUCUCUCCGUCCAUUCAAUGCCACGUCUCCAGGUGAAUCUGCCACCCCAGUUGGGGAUCUGGAUCUUCCAGACGUGGGCACAGCAAUCAAGAGUCCAUUCAUCACGCAGAAAACGGACACCCGACAGAUCCAGUUCCACUUCGAUGCUGCAAACUACAGAAAAACAGAGGGCCUCAUUUUCUCAGGCACCGGGACAGAAAAGUUGCCAAGUAAAGGCCACAAGGGCUUCUCUUGUCCUUACCGGCCUGCCUUCAGCUGUCCUUGACUGGAACUGGGUUGUCUGGGAAGAAUGGCUCUCAAGAACAUUCACCCAACGUUUCUCUUCCUGUCCUUACAAUCAACUGAGAUAACAAUCUUGGGCAAGAAGAGCAACAUCUUCCUACACAUCCUGGAGUUCACCAAACCUCUGCCCACAA